This 454-nucleotide ribosomal RNA is filed under the name uncultured Sphingobacteriales bacterium. RNAcentral describes it as "bacterial SSU rRNA". It matches the Rfam family "Bacterial small subunit ribosomal RNA", at positions 925 to 1382 of the family's 1533-position model. Lineage: Bacteria; Pseudomonadati; Bacteroidota; Sphingobacteriia; Sphingobacteriales. The record is from RNAcentral.
ACAAGCGGAGGAGCAUGUGGUUAAUCGAUGAUACGCGAGGAACCUUACCUGGGCUCGAACGUAAGAUGACUGUAGGUGAAAGCUUACAUCUCUUCGGAGCAUUUUACGAGGUGCUGCAUGGUUGUCGUCAGCUCGUGCCGUGAGGUGUCGGGUUAAGUCCCAUAACGAGCGCAACCCUACCUUUAGUUGCCAUCAGGUAAUGCUGGGGACUCUAAAGGAACUGCCUACGCAAGUAGUGAGGAAGGCGGGGAUGACGCCAAAUCAGCACGGCCCUUACGUCCAGGGCUACACACGUGCUACAAUGGCCGAUACAGAGGGCAGCUACCUGGUGACAGGAUGCAAAUCUCCAAAGUCGGUCUCAGUUCGGAUCGGAGUCUGCAACCCGACUCCGUGAAGUUGGAUUCGCUAGUAAUCGCGCAUCAGCCAUGGCGCGGUGAAUACGUUCCCGGGCCUU